Molecule: long non-coding RNA, 386 nt
Organism: Malaclemys terrapin pileata
Lineage: Eukaryota; Metazoa; Chordata; Testudines; Emydidae
Exons: 3
Source: RefSeq, a predicted model, not a curated record
CCCAGCACAGCUGGAGCCCGGGAGAGGAAGCGCCUGGCUGGGGGCGCAGGUCCGGAGAUCUGGGGGCUGCCUGGCAAACCGUGAAGCCAGUAGCGCUCGGGCAGCUCCGCUCUUCAGCUGCACAGAGCUGAGGUGUCUGGGGGGAGCAGCAGCAGCCGCCGCCACGGAGGAAUCUGCCUGCAGCUCACAGCCUGCCGGAGCGAAGACCCCUAAAAAAUUUCGAAUGGAGGUGUGAACCCCUUUUGAAAACUUAGACAUAGACUGUGGACCCCGAGUGGACUGUGGACCGCAGGCUGAAAACCACUGGAAGCAAGCCCCACCUGCUUUGGUUGUCACUUUCAGCAAGUAACCAUCCAAGUCAAUCUGAAACUGAGGAGUCUCGCAAG